ACGAACGCUGGCGGCGUGCCUCAUACCUGCAAGUCGAGCGAACAGACGAGGAGCUUGCUCCUCUGACGUUAGCGGCGGACGGGUGAGUAACCCGUGGAUAACCUACCUAUAAGACUGGGAUAACUUCGGGAAACCGGAGCUAAUACCGGAUAAUAUAUUGAACCGCAUGGUUCAAUAGUGAAAGACGGUUUUGCUGUCACUUAUAGAUGGAUCCGCGCCGCAUUAGCUAGUUGGUAAGGUAACGGCUUACCAAGGCGACGAUGCGUAGCCGACCUGAGAGGGUGAUCGGCCACACUGGAACUGAGACACGGUCCAGACUCCUACGGGAGGCAGCAGUAGGGAAUCUUCCGCAAUGGGCGAAAGCCUGACGGAGCAACGCCGCGUGAGUGAUGAAGGUCUUCGGAUCGUAAAACUCUGUUAUUAGGGAAGAACAAAUGUGUAAGUAACUAUGCACGUCUUGACGGUACCUAAUCAGAAAGCCACGGCUAACUACGUG
This 496-nucleotide ribosomal RNA is filed under the name uncultured bacterium. RNAcentral's name for it is "partial 16S ribosomal RNA". It matches the Rfam family "Bacterial small subunit ribosomal RNA", at positions 29 to 507 of the family's 1533-position model. The record is from RNAcentral.